This 364-nucleotide long non-coding RNA is filed under the name Populus tremula. Its description in RNAcentral is "long non-coding RNA (PTRE_LNC001785)". The record is from RNAcentral. Lineage: Eukaryota; Viridiplantae; Streptophyta; Magnoliopsida; Malpighiales; Salicaceae.
CUCCAUUACAUUAGUAGAAGUUUUGCAACAAAAUAAAAACAUAUAAUCCCAUUUCAUCACACAUUUGAUUAUAUCACAUCAUAUUAUUGUACCAAACAUAAUACCAUUAGGGUAUGAUCUUGACAUGGCGUCAAAAGGUAAAGAGAAAUUCGGCCUCUACAUAAAAUGUUGAGCAGGAUGUUUUGCAACAAAAUAAAAACAUAUAAUCCCAUUUCAUCACAUUUGAUUAUAUCACAUCAUAUUAUUGUACCAAACAUAAUACCAUUAGGGUAUGAUCUUGACAUGGCGUCAAAAGGUAAAGAGAAAUUCGGCCUCUACAUAAAAUGUUGAGCAGGAUGUUUAGUGCAUGAUCACUCAACAAGCA